RNAcentral lists this RNase P RNA (390 nucleotides) under Mucilaginibacter segetis. Its description in RNAcentral is "Bacterial RNase P class A". It matches the Rfam family "Bacterial RNase P class A". From Rfam's summary of the family: Ribonuclease P (RNase P) is a ubiquitous endoribonuclease, found in archaea, bacteria and eukarya as well as chloroplasts and mitochondria. Its best characterised activity is the generation of mature 5'-ends of tRNAs by cleaving the 5'-leader elements of precursor-tRNAs. Cellular RNase Ps are ribonucleoproteins. The record is from Rfam by way of RNAcentral. Lineage: Bacteria; Pseudomonadati; Bacteroidota; Sphingobacteriia; Sphingobacteriales; Sphingobacteriaceae.
AAUGCAAAACGUUCUAUCGCUGUUUGCCCUAAAGCGAACGGAGGAAAGUCCGGGCAACACAGAGCAUCCUGCUUCCUAACAGGAAGGCGCCGGCAGCCGGCGACAGCAAGUGCCACAGAAAAUAUACCGCCCGGGAUUUAUCGCGGGUAAGGGUGAAAACGUGAGGUAAGAGCUCACGGCUUUUCCGGGCGACCGGGAUCGCGGUAAACCUCAGGAGUUGAAAGACCAAAUAGGUUCUGGAUCAGGAGUUGCUCGCUCCCGUGUAAUUGUUAGCAAUUACCUUCAGAAUGGGUAGGUUGAUUAAACCUGUCAGCAAUGGCAGGGCCAGAUUAAUGAUAGAAGUUCUCCUUACGGGGAAUACAGAACCCGGCUUACAGAUUUGCUGCUGCA